Molecule: ribosomal RNA, 253 nt
Filed under: uncultured bacterium
Lineage: Bacteria
Description: partial 16S ribosomal RNA
Rfam family: Bacterial small subunit ribosomal RNA
Source: RNAcentral
UACGAAGGGGGCUAGCGUUGCUCGGAAUCACUGGGCGUAAAGGGUGCGUAGGCGGGUCUUUAAGUCAGGGGUGAAAUCCUGGAGCUCAACUCCAGAACUGCCUUUGAUACUGAGGAUCUUGAGUUCGGGAGAGGUGAGUGGAACUGCGAGUGUAGAGGUGAAAUUCGUAGAUAUUCGCAAGAACACCAGUGGCGAAGGCGGUUCUCUGGGACGGUACUGACGCUGAGACGCGAAAGCGUGGGGAGCGAACAGG